AUGGAAGACAGGAUAAGUAAACGUGGGCCACAGAAGCCACACUGUUUGUUCAUUUCCCCUCUAGGAGAUUUUGACUUCAACAACCUGAGCAAUCCUGAGGCUUCUGGACAGUUGGUUUCAGAAUCCCCACUAUGCUUCCGGACGAUUCUAGGGCAAAGGGGCUCAGGCUUCUUCUGCUGCUGCUGCUUCUGCUGCUUCUGCUUCUCCUUCUCCUUCUUCCUUCUUCCUUCGUCGUUCUUCCUUCUUCUUCUUCUUGACAGAAUCUCUCUCUUGUUGCCCAGGCUGGAGUGCAAUGGCGCAAUUUCAGUUCACUCCCAGGGUUUCAAGCGAUUCUCCUGCCUCAGCCUCCCAAGUAGCUGGGAUUACAGGCAUGUGCCACCACGCCCAGCUAAUUUUUAAAAUUUUAUUAUUUUUGUAUUUUUAGUAGAGAUGAGACAUGGUUUUGCCAUGUUGGCCAGAUUGGUUUCAAAUUUCUGGCCUCAAGUGAUCCAACCACCUUGACCUCCCAAAGUCCUGUAAUUGCAGGCAUGAGCCACUGCACCUGGCCCAUGGUCUUCUUUUCUUAUGAUGUCUUUAGCUUUGGUAUCAGGGUAAUACUGGCUUAAUAAAAAGAGUUGGAAAUUGUUCUUUACCUUUCUGUAACACUUAUUUAUAGAAUUUGUGUUGGAUUGUACUAGCCUGUUCAUUUUCAUUAAAUGUUUGAUAGAAUUUACCAGGGAAGGCCGGGCGCGGUGGCUCACGCCUGUAAUCCCAGCACUUUGGGAGGCCGAGGCGGGCGGAUCACAAGGUCAGGAGAUCGAGACCACAGUGAAACCCCGUCUCUACUAAAAAUACAAAAAAUUAGCCGGGCGCGGUGGUGGGCGCCUGUAGUCCCAGCUACUCAGGAGGCUGAGGCAGGAGAAUGGCGUGAACCCGGGAGGCGGAGCUUGCAGUGAGCCGAGAUUGCGCCACUGCACUCCAGCCUGGGCGACAGCGCCAGACUCCGUCUCAAAAAAAAAAAAAAAAAAAAAAGUCAAAAAGAAUUUACCAGGGAAUUCAUCAAAGGAAUUCCAGGGAAAAAAUCUGGGCCUGGGAUUUCCUUGUGAGAAGAUUUUAAAUUAGUAAUCCGAAUGGAUAAAAAUUACUAACAAUAGCUGAUGUUAACACAUUCAGAUUUUAUGCUAUUUUGAGUCAGUUUUAGUAGUUUCCUGGCUAGGAAUUUGGUUCAUCUAACUUGUUUAAUUUAUUGACAUAAAGUUGUAAUAGUCCUUUUUAAUUCUUAUGAUUUCUGUUGGGCAUGUAGUGAUGUAUCCUCCUUCAUCUUGAUUAUUUUGGAAGUUUAUAUCUUCAUUCUCUUUUUCUUGUCAAUCUAGCUAAACAUUUAACAAUUUUGUUGACUUUUCAAAUAACCAAAUUUUUAUGUUUCAUUGAUUUUUCUAUUGUUUUUAUUUUCUGUUUUAUUGAUUUUGGCUCUGGUGCAAUCUCAGCUCACCGCAACCUCCGCCUCCAGGGCUCAAGUGAUUCUCCUACCUCAGCCACGUGAGGAGCUGGGACUACAGGCGUGCACCACCACACCCUGCCUCAGCCACGUGAGGAGGUGGGACUACAGGCAUGCACCACCACGCCCAGCUAAUUUUCGUAUUUUUAGUAGAGAUGGGGUUUUACCAUGUUGGCCAGGAUGGUCUCGAUUGCUUGACCUCAUGAUCCGCCUGCCUCGGCCUCCGAAACUGCUGGAAUUACAGGUGUGAGCCACUGUGCCCAGCUGCUCUGAUCUUUACUAGUUUUUCUUUCCAUUUAGUGUGGGUUCGAUUUGUUCUUCUUUUCCUGGGUUCCUGAAGUGGAAGCAUAGGCAAUUGAUUUGAGACCUUUUUUCUUUUAAAAUAUAGGUGUUUAGUGCUAUAAGCACUCCUCUAAGCAUUAUUUUAGCGCCAUUCCAUUUGUUUUGACAUGUUGUGUUUUAAUUUUCUUUCAGUUUCAAUAUUUUUCUAAUUUCCCUUGUGAUUUCUUCUUUAAUCUAUGGGUUAUUUAGAAGUGUGUUAUUUAAUUUCCAAACCUUUGGAUAUUUCCAAGAUUUCUCUAUGUUAUUGAUUUCUACCAUAUUGUGAUGGAAGAAGUAAGUUUACUGUAACAAUCCAAUUUAAAAUAAUGUAAAUAAAUUGAACUGGUGUUUCCUGAAGUUUUCUUUUUUAACUUUUAUUUUAGGUUUGGGGGUACAUGUGAAGGUUACAUAGGUAAGCACGUGUCAUGGUUGUUUGUUGUACACAUUAUUUCAUUACCCAGGUAUUAAGCCCAGUACCCAAUAGUUAUCUUUUCUGCUCCUCUCCCUCCUCCCACCCUCCCCCAUCAAAUAGACUCCUGCCUGUUGUUUCCUCCUUUGUGUUCAUAAGUUCUGAUCAUUUAGCUCCCAUCCUAAAGUUCAGUGUGCACAUAAACACCGAGGCAUCUUGUUAAAAUGCAGAUGUUGACUCAGCAAGUCUGGGAUGAGGCCCGAGAAUCUGCAUUUCUUUCUUUCUUUCUUUCUUUCAGACGGAGUUUCACUCUUUUUGUCCAGGCUGGAGUGCAAUGGCGCAAUCUCGGCUCAUCUAACAAGCUCUCAACUGCUGCUGGUCCUGGGACCAUACUGAGUAGCAAGAUUUAAAGAUGAUGAUAAUUUUCAAAAUACAUAGUAUUUAAUUUCUUAACUCCAUUUGUCUUGUGAUCAUUUCCAAUUUAUUCUUUUUAGUAAUUAUUACUACACAUAAGAGUGUCUAUUAUUGGCCGGGCGCGGUGGCUCACGCCUGUAAUCCCAGCACUUUGGGAGGCCAAGGCGGGCAGACCACCUGCGGUCGGGAGUUGAAGAUCAGCCUGACUAACAUGGAGAAACCCCGUCUCUACUAAAAAUGCAAAAAAAUUAGCCGGACAUGGUGGUGCAUUCCUGUAAUUCUAGCUACUUGGGAGGCUGAGGCAGGAGAAUUGCUUGAACCCAGGAGGUGGAGGUUGCGGUGAGUUAAGAUUAUGCCAUUGCACUCCAGCCUGGGCAACAAGAGCAAAACUCUGUCUUUAAAAAAAAAAAAAAAAAAAGAGUGUCUAUUAUUAUAGUGCAUUAUAGUUUUGAGAGAUAUUUUUUACGCUUUAUCCCACUCAUUUUUCACAACUGUUAAGUCAAGCAGGGAAGGCACGCAUUGGCCAGUUGCAGUGGUUCGUACCUGUAAUCCCAGCACUUUGGAAGGCCGAGGCGGGGGAAUCACAAGAUCAGGAGCUUGAGACCAGUCUGGCCAACAUGGUGAAACCCUGUCUCUACUAAAAAUACAAAAACCCUGCCAGGCGUGGUAGUGGGCACAUGUAAUCCUAGCUACUCCAGAGACUGAGGCAGGAGAAUUGCUUGAACCCGGGAGACGGAGGUUGCAGUGAGCGGAGAUCACCUACUGUACUCCAGCCUGGGCAACAGAGCAAGACUCUGUCUCUGAAGAAAAAAAAAAAAAGGCAUGCAUUUAUUUUAUUACCUUUCCAGGGCGAGGAAACUGAGCCUUGGAGAGGUUGAGAAUGGCUUGACGUAUUUCACAUUUCAUCAUUAGACCAUGCUCCUUCCUUUUAAUAAUAUUAUAUAUUUGUGAAGCUGACUUUCUGGUGUUUGCUGUGCCAAAAAAAUUAAAAAGUACCAUUGAAGGCCCGUGGUGGUGUAGGCAGUGAAGGCGUCAGUUCCAACCAGACUCCGGUUUUGAGAAGUUGUGGAGUGCCCAGUAAGCACAUUCAUAUUUAACUUAUUUAAGGAUGUUUAUUUUAGGAAGAAGUAAGUUUUUUAGGAAUUAUGUGUAUUUUUUCAAUGGCUACUAAAUACUUGUGUUGUAUGAACCUAAUAAUGGAAGUUUGGGGUAUUCUUGUUGGCCUAGGGGUGCUGUGAAAAAUUACUGAGAUGCUCAGGGCACAGUGAGCUGAGAAAGUUUGGGGAAUUCUACUAUAAAUAAAUAAUCCCACUAUAUGUAUGGAUCCAGAUAUAUGUCACAUGUACAUAUCUUUAUUUUUGUAUUUAAAUAUAAUAUAUUUAUUGUGUGUCUUUAGCCAGGUUUCACUUUGGAGUGCAUAAUUUUCUCUGUUUGCUCACAUGCAUUAUGAAUUAAUGAGUUGUUUUGGAAUUGAAGCAUGUUAGGGGAGGAAUACAUGUCUUUUCUAGGUUUUGCAAGUACUUGCUGUAGAGUCUCAUAUUUUUGCGGGUGUUGUCCUCAGGGAUGUGGUGCCUUUUACUAAUUACACUGAUGCGAAAACAGAAGAAAUUGCUAAAAGCCACAGGGGAGCGGGCAGCUGAACCAAGGAGCAUAUGAAAAGCAGGCUUCUCUACACUCUGCCACACCCUUUGGGAAACUUAUUAGGGGGGAAAAAUUCUCUAAGUCCUUUUUUUUCUUUUUCUUUUUUUUUUUGAGUCAGAGUCUUGCUCUGUUGCCCAGGCUGCUGGAAUGCAGUAGCGUGAUUUUGGCUCACUGCAACCUCCGCCUUCCGGGUUCAAGCAAUUCCCUUGCCUCAGUCCCCCAAGUAGCUGAGAUUACAGGUGUGCACCACCAUGCCUGGCUAAUUUUUUGGGUAUUUUUAGUAGAGACAGGGUUUCACCGUGUUGGCCAGGCUGGUCUUGAACUCCUGACCUUAUGAUUCGCCUGCCUUGGCCUUCCAAAGUGCUGGGAUUACAGGCGUGAGCCACCGUGCCCAGCCAAAAAUCCUCUAGGCCCUUGUAAAGUUUGCUUUAUGGCUUACUUUGGGGCAGGGAGAAGAUGAAACAAAAUUUGUCAUGAGAAUUUAAGAUGUCAACCUAACUAAUUUAUCAGGGCUUUCAGCUGUGACGGAAAAGAUAACAACCAGC
This 4807-nucleotide long non-coding RNA is filed under the name Papio anubis (olive baboon). Its description in RNAcentral is "lncRNA (ENSPANG00000042915.1)". The record is from RNAcentral. Lineage: Eukaryota; Metazoa; Chordata; Mammalia; Primates; Cercopithecidae.